RNAcentral lists this ribosomal RNA (599 nucleotides) under uncultured bacterium. Its description in RNAcentral is "bacterial SSU rRNA". It matches the Rfam family "Bacterial small subunit ribosomal RNA", at positions 11 to 608 of the family's 1533-position model. The record is from RNAcentral.
GUUUGAUUAUGGCUCAGGAUGAACGCUAGCGGCAGGCUUAAUACAUGCAAGUCGAACGGUAAGGUCUCUUCGGAGAUACACGAGUGGCGCACGGGUGCGUAACGCGUAUGCAACCUACCUUUAACUGGGAAAUAGCCCCGAGAAAUCGGGAUUAAUGUCCCAUACUAUUCUGAGGAUACCUAUCCUUAGAAUGAAAGCUCCGGCGGUUAUUGAUGGGCAUGCGUGACAUUAGCUAGUUGGUGAGGUAACGGCUCACCAAGGCUACGAUGUCUAGGGGUCCUGAGAGGGUUAACCCCCACACUGGUACUGAGACACGGACCAGACUCCUACGGGAGGCAGCAGUAAGGAAUAUUGGGCAAUGGACGCAAGUCUGACCCAGCCAUGCCGCGUGAAGGAUGACGGUCCUAUGGAUUGUAAACUUCUUUUAUGCAGGAAAAAUAUCCCGGUCGUGAACCGGGACUGAUGGUACUGUAUGAAUAAGCAUCGGCUAACUCCGUGCCAGCAGCCGCGGUAAUACGGAGGAUGCAAGCGUUAUCCGGAUUCAUUGGGUUUAAAGGGUGCGCAGGCGGAAUGAUAAGUCAGUGGUGAAAUCUCCCGGC